RNAcentral lists this ribosomal RNA (1396 nucleotides) under Curtobacterium pusillum. RNAcentral's name for it is "bacterial SSU rRNA". It matches the Rfam family "Bacterial small subunit ribosomal RNA". The record is from RNAcentral. Lineage: Bacteria; Bacillati; Actinomycetota; Actinomycetes; Micrococcales; Microbacteriaceae.
UAGUUUGAUCCCCUGCUCAGGACGAACGCUGGCGGCGUGCUUAACACAUGCAAGUCGAACGAUGAUGCCCAGCUUGCUGGGUGGAUUAGUGGCGAACGGGUGAGUAACACGUGAGUAACCUGCCCCUGACUCUGGGAUAAGCGUUGGAAACGACGUCUAAUACUGGAUAUGACUGCCGGCCGCAUGGUCUGGUGGUGGAAAGAUUUUUUGGUUGGGGAUGGACUCGCGGCCUAUCAGCUUGUUGGUGAGGUAAUGGCUCACCAAGGCGACGACGGGUAGCCGGCCUGAGAGGGUGACCGGCCACACUGGGACUGAGACACGGCCCAGACUCCUACGGGAGGCAGCAGUGGGGAAUAUUGCACAAUGGGCGAAAGCCUGAUGCAGCAACGCCGCGUGAGGGAUGACGGCCUUCGGGUUGUAAACCUCUUUUAGUAGGGAAGAAGGGAGCUUGCUCUUGACGGUACCUGCAGAAAAAGCACCGGCUAACUACGUGCCAGCAGCCGCGGUAAUACGUAGGGUGCAAGCGUUGUCCGGAAUUAUUGGGCGUAAAGAGCUCGUAGGCGGUUUGUCGCGUCUGCUGUGAAAUCCCGAGGCUCAACCUCGGGCUUGCAGUGGGUACGGGCAGACUAGAGUGCGGUAGGGGAGAUUGGAAUUCCUGGUGUAGCGGUGGAAUGCGCAGAUAUCAGGAGGAACACCGAUGGCGAAGGCAGAUCUCUGGGCCGUAACUGACGCUGAGGAGCGAAAGCAUGGGGAGCGAACAGGAUUAGAUACCCUGGUAGUCCAUGCCGUAAACGUUGGGCGCUAGAUGUAGGGACCUUUCCACGGUUUCUGUGUCGUAGCUAACGCAUUAAGCGCCCCGCCUGGGGAGUACGGCCGCAAGGCUAAAACUCAAAGGAAUUGACGGGGGCCCGCACAAGCGGCGGAGCAUGCGGAUUAAUUCGAUGCAACGCGAAGAACCUUACCAAGGCUUGACAUACACCGGAAACGGCCAGAGAUGGUCGCCCCCUUGUGGUCGGUGUACAGGUGGUGCAUGGUUGUCGUCAGCUCGUGUCGUGAGAUGUUGGGUUAAGUCCCGCAACGAGCGCAACCCUCGUUCUAUGUUGCCAGCGCGUUAUGGCGGGGACUCAUAGGAGACUGCCGGGGUCAACUCGGAGGAAGGUGGGGAUGACGUCAAAUCAUCAUGCCCCUUAUGUCUUGGGCUUCACGCAUGCUACAAUGGCCGGUACAAAGGGCUGCGAUACCGUAAGGUGGAGCGAAUCCCAAAAAGCCGGUCUCAGUUCGGAUUGAGGUCUGCAACUCGACCUCAUGAAGUCGGAGUCGCUAGUAAUCGCAGAUCAGCAACGCUGCGGUGAAUACGUUCCCGGGCCUUGUACACACCGCCCGUCAAGUCAUGAAA